AUUGAUUUUUCUUUUAAAAUAUCAUUAUGUUAUCUAAUGAAACAACAUAAAUUGUAUUAUCAUUAACCAGAUUUGUGAAAUCAUUUGUAAGUUUUUGAGAGCCCAGUAAAUUCAACUUAAAUUACGUGAAGCGGAUCUGAAAGUAGUUUUCUUUUAUUAUUAAAAAAUAAAAAUAAAAAUAAACAGUGACAGAUGUGAGUGAAUCCAUAUUUAUUUCAGAAUUAUAUGUAUAAACUACAUAAAUUCAAAUUUCCAUGCUGUAUGUAGUGUACAUUGCAUGCGUUCCACUAUCAAAAUGAUUCAGAAACUGAUGAAUCCACGAUUUAAUCGCAUGUUGAAAUAUAAUCAUUUAGAUCUACAAUACAAGCAUUAUGAAUUCAAUAGUAUUCUAAUUCAUUCAUCUGUUAGAUAUUAAAACAUUUAAAAAUUCAUAUUUUACAAAAGUGGCAUAACCCAAAAAGUCCUCCCAUUUCAAUUGACUGAAUAUUGACAGAGAAGCGUGUCGUUAACGAGCUCACACCGAAAAGUUCACCGCAAUUAUCCAUGAAUUUGUUAGAUAAAAAAGAUCUCAACCUAAUCUCACACCAGACACGUAACUAUUGAUUGGUCUCUUGGUAGAUGAGCGGUGAGUUUGUACGUAUCUUGCUCGACUUUCACUUAAGAUGACUGUAAAACUCCUAUCAAUUCUUCGAAAUCCCUCGAUCCUGAUGCUGAAAAGCAGAUAUUCUUACCAAAAUCACUCACAAACGAGUUUCGCAGGAUCCAGCUUUGUGAUUCACCUUAUUACAGUCGCCCAGAAAUAGUCCUAGGCAACAAGGUUUUCAUUAUACUCCAACACCUGAUCAACCACAACCAAUAUGACGGGGUUAAACAGAAUGCAUUGAAGACUUGGCAGCGCUGAAGGAGGAGCAACAAAUCACAGUUAGAAGCUUUGUGGAACUUGUGAUUUCUCUGAUUGAUCGGAAGCAGAAGCUUGCCAAAAAAGAAAAAAGAAAAAAGAAAAAACUCGGGCCCCUAUCAAUGAAUGAUAACUUCGCCAUGGCUUUAUACGAUUUCUCGUUAAUAAUAGAUGAGAUUAGGGUUUAGGGUUGCAAUUGGGUUUGCCUUUGAGGUGUAGGAGAGCCCUCACAUCAAUCCUUUUGUGUUGCAGCGACUUCGCACCAUCCCUUGCAUGUGCAGCCCGUAGC
This 1187-nucleotide long non-coding RNA is filed under the name Physcomitrium patens. RNAcentral describes it as "long non-coding RNA (PPAT_LNC001938)". The record is from RNAcentral. Lineage: Eukaryota; Viridiplantae; Streptophyta; Bryopsida; Funariales; Funariaceae.